RNAcentral lists this ribosomal RNA (924 nucleotides) under uncultured Bacteroidota bacterium. RNAcentral describes it as "bacterial SSU rRNA". It matches the Rfam family "Bacterial small subunit ribosomal RNA", at positions 1 to 916 of the family's 1533-position model. The record is from RNAcentral. Lineage: Bacteria; Pseudomonadati; Bacteroidota.
GGAUCCAGACUUUGAUUAUGGCUCAGGAUGAACGCUAGCUACAGGCUUAACACAUGCAAGUCGAGGGGAAACGAUAUUGGAAGCUUGCUUCCGAUAGGCGUCGACCGGCGCACGGGUGAGUAACGCGUAUCCAACCUGCCCAUCACUUGGGGAUAACCUUGCGAAAGUAAGACUAAUACCCAAUGACGUCUCUAGAAGACAUCUGAAAGAGAUUAAAGAUUUAUCGGUGAUGGAUGGGGAUGCGUCUGAUUAGCUUGUUGGCGGGGUAACGGCCCACCAAGGCAACGAUCAGUAGGGGUUCUGAGAGGAAGGUCCCCCACAUUGGAACUGAGACACGGUCCAAACUCCUACGGGAGGCAGCAGUGAGGAAUAUUGGUCAAUGGACGAGAGUCUGAACCAGCCAAGUAGCGUGCAGGAUGACGGCCCUAUGGGUUGUAAACUGCUUUUAUAAGGGAAUAAAGUGGGUCUCGUGAGACUUUUUGCAUGUACCUUAUGAAUAAGGACCGGCUAAUUCCGUGCCAGCAGCCGCGGUAAUACGGAAGGUCCGGGCGUUAUCCGGAUUUAUUGGGUUUAAAGGGAGCGUAGGCCGGAGAUUAAGCGUGUUGUGAAAUGUAGACGCUCAACGUCUGCACUGCAGCGCGAACUGGUUUCCUUGAGUACGCACAAAGUGGGCGGAAUUCGUGGUGUAGCGGUGAAAUGCUUAGAUAUCACGAAGAACUCCGAUUGCGAAGGCAGCUCACUGGAGCGCAACUGACGCUGAAGCUCGAAAGUGCGGGUAUCGAACAGGAUUAGAUACCCUGGUAGUCCGCACGGUAGACGAUGGAUGCCCGCUGUUGGUCUGAAUAGGUCAGCGGCCAAGCGAAAGCAUUAAGCAUCCCACCUGGGGAGUACGCCGGCAACGGUGCAACUCAAAGGAAUUGACGG